AUUGAACGCUGGCGGCAGGCCUAACACAUGCAAGUCGAGCGGAUGAAGGGAGCUUGCUCCUGGAUUCAGCGGCGGACGGGUGAGUAAUGCCUAGGAAUCUGCCUGGUAGUGGGGGAUAACGUCCGGAAACGGGCGCUAAUACCGCAUACGUCCUGAGGGAGAAAGUGGGGGAUCUUCGGACCUCACGCUAUCAGAUGAGCCUAGGUCGGAUUAGCUAGUUGGUGGGGUAAAGGCCUACCAAGGCGACGAUCCGUAACUGGUCUGAGAGGAUGAUCAGUCACACUGGAACUGAGAAACGGUCCAGACUCCUACGGGAGGCAGCAGUGGGGAAUAUUGGACGAUGGGCGAAAGCCUGAUCCAGCCAUGCCGCGUGUGUGAAGAAGGUCUUCGGAUGGUAAAGCACUUUAAGUUGGGAGGAAGGGCAGUAAGUUAAUACCUUGCUGUUUUGACGUUACCAACAGAAUAAGCACCGGCUAACUUCGUG
This 484-nucleotide ribosomal RNA is filed under the name uncultured bacterium. RNAcentral's name for it is "partial 16S ribosomal RNA". It matches the Rfam family "Bacterial small subunit ribosomal RNA", at positions 30 to 507 of the family's 1533-position model. The record is from RNAcentral.